AUUUUAGCUCCUCCUCUCUUAAAAGGUUCGCUAAAGCAUUUUUUGCUGAAUUUUUCAACUCCAAUUCUUGACUAGUCAAGAGUCUAGCUUCAGCUAACUUGUCUAGUUCAUCUGCUCUAGCUAACAGUCUCGCCUUCUCCUUCUUAUAUGUUCCACUAAUAUUUUUCGCCCAACCUCUUAGAAAUGACUGUUUAGAAGAGGAAGAAGAUCAUAUUUCUUGUAGUGUCAAUUGCCCUUUUCUACUGUUUUAGUAUGUUUAUGUUUUCUGAAUUUUGUGUAAUGCUUCUUUUUUUGUUUACAUUGCUUUCGGGGUGUUGUUAGUGGUCAAAACAAUUGACUUUCUUAACAUGAUUAUCAAUAUAUGAGUAACAAUGUAGGAGUAAUACAAUAAAUAAGAGGCCACUAGCAUUUGUUGUGAUCAAUGGUCACGAACAUGAAUUGGGAUAAGGAGUGGAAAUUAGUUUUCCCCCACUUAUCGUCAGCCGGUGAAUUGGGGUACGUGAAAGUAGUCUGUAAUUCUUAUAUUUGAUUUAAGU
This 536-nucleotide long non-coding RNA is filed under the name Oryza brachyantha (malo sina). RNAcentral describes it as "long non-coding RNA (OBRA_LNC001393)". Lineage: Eukaryota; Viridiplantae; Streptophyta; Magnoliopsida; Poales; Poaceae. The record is from RNAcentral.